Non-coding RNA from Clostridiales bacterium, 376 nucleotides. It matches the Rfam family "transfer-messenger RNA". From Rfam's summary of the family: Bacterial tmRNA, also known as 10Sa RNA or SsrA, is named for its dual tRNA and mRNA-like properties. Its role is to liberate the mRNA from a stalled ribosome. The record is from Rfam. NCBI's taxonomy places the organism in Bacteria, Bacillati, Bacillota, Clostridia, Eubacteriales.
GGGGAUGUAAAGGCUUCGACAGGGUUGUUGAGAUUGGAAUAGCGGGUAGAGGAUGCGCGUUGGCCUCUUUAAAAAACGGGCAAAAAAUUUAGUUGCAAAAACUAAUAGAUUCGCUGUAGCUGCGUAAGCUUGGCGCACAAACUUGAUGAAUCUGCUAAUUGAGUGAUUGUGUUAGACUAGCAGACCUUGAUCGUUAGAGGUCAAACUUUCAAAUUUCAAGUUAAGCUUUGCCCUUGGAAUUAUCUAUGAAGCUACUUUCAUAAGCGAUUGUUCAAAGUCUACCUUAUGAGGGGAAUUUAGAAAAUUUGAACUGCACCCGGAGAAGUUCUGAUUAAGGCGAUUUUGGACACGAGUUCGAUUCUCGUCAUCUCCAUUC